This 367-nucleotide ribosomal RNA is filed under the name uncultured bacterium. RNAcentral's name for it is "bacterial SSU rRNA". It matches the Rfam family "Bacterial small subunit ribosomal RNA", at positions 335 to 693 of the family's 1533-position model. The record is from RNAcentral.
ACUCCUACGGGAGGCAGCAGUGGGGAAUAUUGCACAAUGGGGGAAACCCUGAUGCAGCCAUGCCGCGUGUGUGAAGAAGGCCUUCGGGUUGUAAAGCACUUUCAGUAGGGAGGAAGGUAGUGUAGUUAACACCUGCAUUAUUUGACGUUACCUACAGAAGAAGCACCGGCUAACUCCGUGCCAGCAGCCGCGGUAAGUACGGAGGGUGCGAGCGUUAAUCGGAAUUACUGGGCGUAAAGCGCAUGCAGGCGGCCUGUUAAGUCAGAUGUGAAAGCCCGGGGCUUAACCUCGGAAUUGCAUUUGAAACUGGCAGGCUAGAGUCUGUAGAGGGGGUUAGAAUUUCAGGUGUAGCGGUGAAAUGCGGUAG